AGGGUGCAAGCGUUAUCCGGAUUCACUGGGUUUAAAGGUAGCGUAGGCGGGCUGGUAAGUCAGUGGUGAAAGCCUUGAGCUUAACUCGAGAACUGCCAUUGAUACUAUCAGUCUUGAAUAUUGUUGAGGUUUGCGGAAUGGGUCAUGUAGCGGUGAAAUGCAUAGAUAUGACCCGGAACACCUAUUGCGAAGGCAGCAGGCUAAACAAAGAUUGACGCUGAGGCUCGAAAGCGUGGGGAUCAAACAGG
Molecule: ribosomal RNA, 248 nt
Filed under: uncultured bacterium
Lineage: Bacteria
Description: partial 16S ribosomal RNA
Rfam family: Bacterial small subunit ribosomal RNA
Source: RNAcentral